GCGUGUGACCAUGUCGCCCUGGUCGCACCCGAUCACAUCGCAGCUUUUGAUAGCGAAGCAGCGUCGAGUCUGGUUGGUACGUGGAUGGGGGACUGCCUGGGAAUGUCAGGUGUAUUCU
RNAcentral lists this ribosomal RNA (118 nucleotides) under Petromyzon marinus (sea lamprey). The record is from RNAcentral. Lineage: Eukaryota; Metazoa; Chordata; Hyperoartia; Petromyzontiformes; Petromyzontidae.